Molecule: ribosomal RNA, 492 nt
Filed under: uncultured bacterium
Lineage: Bacteria
Description: partial 16S ribosomal RNA
Rfam family: Bacterial small subunit ribosomal RNA
Source: RNAcentral
AGUGAACGCUGGCGGUAGGCCUAACACAUGCAAGUCGAACGGCAGCACAGUAAGAGCUUGCUCUUACGGGUGGCGAGUGGCGGACGGGUGAGGAAUACAUCGGGAUCUACUUUUUCGUGGGGGAUAACGUAGGGAAACUUACGCUAAUACCGCAUACGACCUACGGGUGGAAGCAGGGGAUCUUCGGACCUUGCGCGAUUGAAUGAGCCGAUGUCGGAUUAGCUAGUUGGCGGGGCAAAGGCCCACCAAGGCGACGAUCCGUAGCUGGUCUGAGAGGAUGAUCAGCCACACUGGAACUGAGACACGGUCCAGACUCCUACGGGAGGCAGCAGUGGGGAAUAUUGGACAAUGGGCGCAAGCCUGAUCCAGCCAUACCGCGUGGGUGAAGAAGGCCUUCGGGUUGUAAAGCCCUUUUGUUGGGAAAGAAAAGCAGCAGGUUAAUACCCCGCUGUUCUGACGGUACCCAAAGAAUAAGCACCGGCUAACUUCGUG